GUCUGCAUGGUGAUCGUGGUCAACACCGUGCUGCUAGUUUGGACGCUCUGCCUACUGAGGAAACAUUUUGCCUCGCGCAACAAGGAAGUGUCGAAGCUCAAAGAAACCAGAACCCUGACCCUCAAGGCUGCUGCACGGAUGCUUGUUUUGGGAAGCACCUGGAUUUUGGGAA
Molecule: long non-coding RNA, 172 nt
Organism: Amblyraja radiata (thorny skate)
Lineage: Eukaryota; Metazoa; Chordata; Chondrichthyes; Rajiformes; Rajidae
Exons: 3
Source: RefSeq, a predicted model, not a curated record